AUGGAUGAAGGAAAAGAGGCCAGCAAUGCUGAGCUAAACAAUUCAGGGAGGUAUUGGAUUGGCCUCUGUAGAAACUAUGCACCUAAUCUUGGGCCCCUAGAAGAAGGAAACUCAACAUGUGUGGUUCUCAUUAGAGGCAACCAGACCGUUGUUGAAAAUAUUGAUGAUUCCUGUUGUGUAUUCUCAAGGAAUGGACCGUUGCGGUGCGUAGAAGAAAGGUGCCACUUUCACUUAGUUCUCUCAGUUCUAAGUUGGGACUGCAAAAAUUUGAGGAUUUCCCCACAUGUGAGUUGCCUUGAUUAG
RNAcentral lists this ribosomal RNA (303 nucleotides) under Triticum aestivum (bread wheat). Its description in RNAcentral is "partial small subunit ribosomal RNA". The record is from RNAcentral. Lineage: Eukaryota; Viridiplantae; Streptophyta; Magnoliopsida; Poales; Poaceae.